CCCUUAGAUGUUCUGGGCCGCACGCGUGCUACACUGAGUGGAUCAGCGGGUCAGGUUGCGCGAAAGUGUUUCCUAAUCUUGAAAUCCGCUCGUGAUGGGGAUUGACGGUUGCAAUUUUCCGUCAUGAACGAGGAAUACCUUGUAAGCGCGGGUCAUCAUCCCGCGCUGAAUACGUCCCUGCCCUUUGUACACACCGCCCGUCGCUCCUACCGAUUGAGUGGUCCGGUGAGGCUUUGGGAUCUGAGCGGAAAGAGCGUUUCGCUGUUUCUGCUAGGAAAACUCAGUCGAACCUUAUCAUUUAGAGGAAGGAGAAGUCGUAACA
This 322-nucleotide ribosomal RNA is filed under the name uncultured eukaryote. RNAcentral's name for it is "partial 18S ribosomal RNA". It matches the Rfam family "Eukaryotic small subunit ribosomal RNA", at positions 1470 to 1796 of the family's 1831-position model. The record is from RNAcentral.